UACGGGGGGAGCAAGCGUUGUUCGGAUUUACUGGGCGGAAAGGGCGCGUAGGCGGCCACCGCAAGUCGACUGUGAAAUCUCCGGGCUUAACCCGGAAAGGUCAGCCGAUACUGCGGGGCUAGAGUGCAGAAGGGGCAACUGGAAUUCUCGGUGUAGCGGUGAAAUGCGUAGAUAUCGAGAGGAACACCUGCGGCGAAGGCGGGUCUCUGGGCAUCUCCUGACGCUGAGGCGCGAAAGCGUGGGGAGCAAACGGG
This 254-nucleotide ribosomal RNA is filed under the name uncultured bacterium. Its description in RNAcentral is "partial 16S ribosomal RNA". It matches the Rfam family "Bacterial small subunit ribosomal RNA", at positions 524 to 776 of the family's 1533-position model. The record is from RNAcentral.